This 484-nucleotide ribosomal RNA is filed under the name uncultured bacterium. RNAcentral describes it as "partial 16S ribosomal RNA". It matches the Rfam family "Bacterial small subunit ribosomal RNA", at positions 29 to 507 of the family's 1533-position model. The record is from RNAcentral.
AUUGAACGCUGGCGGCAUGCUUUACACAUGCAAGUCGAACGGCAGCGCGGGCUUCGGCCUGGCGGCGAGUGGCGAACGGGUGAGUAAUACAUCGGAACGUGCCCAGUAGUGGGGGAUAGCUCGCCGAAAGCCGGAUUAAUACCGCAUACGACCUGAGGGUGAAAGCGGGGGAUCUUCGGACCUCGCGCUAUUGGAGCGGCCGAUGGCAGAUUAGCUAGUUGGUGGGGUAAAGGCCUACCAAGGCGACGAUCUGUAGCUGGUCUGAGAGGACGACCAGCCACACUGGGACUGAGACACGGCCCAGACUCCUACGGGAGGCAGCAGUGGGGAAUUUUGGACAAUGGGCGAAAGCCUGAUCCAGCAAUGCCGCGUGUGUGAUGAAGGCCUUCGGGUUGUAAAGCACUUUUGGCGGGAACGAAAAGGACUGUGCCAAUACCACGGUUCGAUGACGGUACCCGCAGAAUAAGCACCGGCUAACUACGUG